GCGAUAAGCGUCGGUAAGGUGAUAUGAACCGUUAUAACCGGCGAUUUCCGAAUGGGGAAACCCAGUGUGAUUCGUCACACUAUCAUUAACUGAAUCCAUAGGUUAAUGAGGCGAACCGGGGGAACUGAAACAUCUAAGUACCCCGAGGAAAAGAAAUCAACCGAGAUUCCCCCAGUAGCGGCGAGCGAACGGGGAGCAGCCCAGAGCCUGAAUCAGUGUGUGUGUUAGUGGAAGCGUCUGGAAAGGCGUGCGAUACAGGGUGACAGCCCCGUACACAAAAAUGCACAUACUGUGAGCUCGAUGAGUAGGGCGGGACACGUGGUAUCCUGUCUGAAUAUGGGGGGACCAUCCUCCAAGGCUAAAUACUCCUGACUGACCGAUAGUGAACCAGUACCGUGAGGGAAAGGCGAAAAGAACCCCGGCGAGGGGAGUGAAAAAGAACCUGAAACCGUGUACGUACAAGCAGUGGGAGCACGCUUAGGCGUGUGACUGCGUACCUUUUGUAUAAUGGGUCAGCGACUUAUAUUCUGUAGCAAGGUUAACCGAAUAGGGGAGCCGAAGGGAAACCGAGUCUUAACUGGGCGUUAAGUUGCAGGGUAUAGACCCGAAACCCGGUGAUCUAGCCAUGGGCAGGUUGAAGGUUGGGUAACACUAACUGGAGGACCGAACCGACUAAUGUUGAAAAAUUAGCGGAUGACUUGUGGCUGGGGGUGAAAGGCCAAUCAAACCGGGAGAUAGCUGGUUCUCCCCGAAAGCUAUUUAGGUAGCGCCUCGUGAAUUCAUCUCCGGGGGUAGAGCACUGUUUCGGCAAGGGGGUCAUCCCGACUUACCAACCCGAUGCAAACUGCGAAUACCGGAGAAUGUUAUUACGGGAGACACACGGCGGGUGCUAACGUCCGUCGUGAAGAGGGAAACAACCCAGACCGCCAGCUAAGGUCCCAAAGUCAUGGUUAAGUGGGAAACGAUGUGGGAAGGCCCAGACAGCCAGGAUGUUGGCUUAGAAGCAGCCAUCAUUUAAAGAAAGCGUAAUAGCUCACUGGUCGAGUCGGCCUGCGCGGAAGAUGUAACGGGGCUAAACCAUGCACCGAAGCUGCGGCAGCGACGCUUAUGCGUUGUUGGGUAGGGGAGCGUUCUGUAAGCCUGUGAAGGUGUGCUGUGAGGUAUGCUGGAGGUAUCAGAAGUGCGAAUGCUGACAUAAGUAACGAUAAAGCGGGUGAAAAGCCCGCUCGCCGGAAGACCAAGGGUUCCUGUCCAACGUUAAUCGGGGCAGGGUGAGUCGACCCCUAAGGCGAGGCCGAAAGGCGUAGUCGAUGGGAAACAGGUUAAUAUUCCUGUACUUGGUGUUACUGCGAAGGGGGGACGGAGAAGGCUAUGUUGGCCGGGCGACGGUUGUCCCGGUUUAAGCGUGUAGGCUGGUUUUCCAGGCAAAUCCGGAAAAUCAAGGCCGAGGCGUGAUGACGAGGCACUACGGUGCUGAAGCAACAAAUGCCCUGCUUCCAGGAAAAGCCUCUAAGCAUCAGGUAACAUCAAAUCGUACCCCAAACCGACACAGGUGGUCAGGUAGAGAAUACCAAGGCGCUUGAGAGAACUCGGGUGAAGGAACUAGGCAAAAUGGUGCCGUAACUUCGGGAGAAGGCACGCUGAUACGUAGGUGAAGCGACUUGCUCGUGGAGCUGAAAUCAGUCGAAGAUACCAGCUGGCUGCAACUGUUUAUUAAAAACACAGCACUGUGCAAACACGAAAGUGGACGUAUACGGUGUGACGCCUGCCCGGUGCCGGAAGGUUAAUUGAUGGGGUUAGCGCAAGCGAAGCUCUUGAUCGAAGCCCCGGUAAACGGCGGCCGUAACUAUAACGGUCCUAAGGUAGCGAAAUUCCUUGUCGGGUAAGUUCCGACCUGCACGAAUGGCGUAAUGAUGGCCAGGCUGUCUCCACCCGAGACUCAGUGAAAUUGAACUCGCUGUGAAGAUGCAGUGUACCCGCGGCAAGACGGAAAGACCCCGUGAACCUUUACUAUAGCUUGACACUGAACAUUGAGCCUUGAUGUGUAGGAUAGGUGGGAGGCUUUGAAGUGUGGACGCCAGUCUGCAUGGAGCCGACCUUGAAAUACCACCCUUUAAUGUUUGAUGUUCUAACGUGGACCCGUGAUCCGGGUUGCGGACAGUGUCUGGUGGGUAGUUUGACUGGGGCGGUCUCCUCCUAAAGAGUAACGGAGGAGCACGAAGGUUGGCUAAUCCUGGUCGGACAUCAGGAGGUUAGUGCAAUGGCAUAAGCCAGCUUGACUGCGAGCGUGACGGCGCGAGCAGGUGCGAAAGCAGGUCAUAGUGAUCCGGUGGUUCUGAAUGGAAGGGCCAUCGCUCAACGGAUAAAAGGUACUCCGGGGAUAACAGGCUGAUACCGCCCAAGAGUUCAUAUCGACGGCGGUGUUUGGCACCUCGAUGUCGGCUCAUCACAUCCUGGGGCUGAAGUAGGUCCCAAGGGUAUGGCUGUUCGCCAUUUAAAGUGGUACGCGAGCUGGGUUUAGAACGUCGUGAGACAGUUCGGUCCCUAUCUGCCGUGGGCGCUGGAGAACUGAGGGGGGCUGCUCCUAGUACGAGAGGACCGGAGUGGACGCAUCACUGGUGUUCGGGUUGUCAUGCCAAUGGCACUGCCCGGUAGCUAAAUGCGGAAGAGAUAAGUGCUGAAAGCAUCUAAGCACGAAACUUGCCCCGAGAUGAGUUCUCCCUGACCCUUUAAGGGUCCUGAAGGAACGUUGAAGACGACGACGUUGAUAGGCCGGGUGUGUAAGCGCAGCGAUGCGUUGAGCUAACCGGUACUAAUGAACCGUGAGGCUUAACCUU
This 2837-nucleotide ribosomal RNA is filed under the name Shigella flexneri. RNAcentral describes it as "partial 23S ribosomal RNA". It matches the Rfam family "Bacterial large subunit ribosomal RNA". Lineage: Bacteria; Pseudomonadati; Pseudomonadota; Gammaproteobacteria; Enterobacterales; Enterobacteriaceae. The record is from RNAcentral.